Molecule: ribosomal RNA, 459 nt
Filed under: uncultured bacterium
Lineage: Bacteria
Description: partial 16S ribosomal RNA
Rfam family: Bacterial small subunit ribosomal RNA
Source: RNAcentral
CCUACGGGAGGCAGCAGUGAGGAAUAUUGGUCAAUGGGCGAGAGCCUGAACCAGCCAAGUCGCGUGAGGGAGUACUGCCCUAUGGGUUGUCAACCUCUUUUGUCGGGGAGCAAAAGCCGGACGUGUCCGGCUGUGAGAUUACCCGAAGAAAAAGCAUCGGCUUACUCCGUGCCAGCAGCCGCGGUAAUACGGAGGAUGCGAGCGUUAUCCGGAUUUAUUGGGUUUAAAGGGAGCGUAGGUGGAUUGUUAAGUCAGUUGUGAAAGUUUGCGGCGCAACCGUAAAAUUGCAGUUGAAACUGGCAGUCUUGAGUACAGUAGAGGUGGGCGGAAUUCGUGGUGUAGCGGUGAAAUGCUUAGAUAUCACGAAGAACUCCGAUUGCGAAGGCAGCUCACUGGACUGCAACUGACACUGAGGCUCGAAAGUGUGGGUAUCAAACAGGAUUAGAUACCCUGGUAGUC